ACAGAGGGUGCGAGCGUUGUUCGGAAUUAUUGGGCGUAAAGGGCGCGUAGGCGGUGCGGUAAGUCACCUGUGAAAUCUCCUGGCUCAACUGGGAGCUUGCAGGCGAAACUGCAUCGCUAGAGUGUCGGAGGGGAAGGCGGAAUUCCCGGUGUAGAGGUGAAAUUCGUAGAUAUCGGGAGGAACACCAGUGGCGAAGGCGGCCUUCUGGACGAACACUGACGCUGAGACGCGAAAGCGUGGGUAGCAAACAGGA
Molecule: ribosomal RNA, 253 nt
Filed under: uncultured prokaryote
Description: partial 16S ribosomal RNA
Rfam family: Bacterial small subunit ribosomal RNA
Source: RNAcentral